GACGAACGCUGGCGGCGUGCUUAACACAUGCAAGUCGAGCGGUAAGGCCCUUUCGGGGGUACACGAGCGGCGAACGGGUGAGUAACACGUGGGUGACCUGCCCUCAGCUCUGGGAUAAGCCUGGGAAACCGGGUCUAAUACUGGAUAUGACUCCAUGACGCAUGUUGUGGGGUGGAAAGCCUUGUGCGGCUGAGGAUGGGCCCGCGGCCUAUCAGCUUGUUGGUGGGGUGANGGCCUACCAAAGGCGACGACGGGUAGCCGGCCUGAGAGGGCGACCGGCCACACUGGGACUGAGACACGGCCCAGACUCCUACGGGAGGCAGCAGUGGGGAAUCUUGCGCAAUGGGCGAAAAGCCUGACGCAGCGACGCCGCGUGAGGGAUGACGGCCU
RNAcentral lists this ribosomal RNA (390 nucleotides) under uncultured bacterium. Its description in RNAcentral is "bacterial SSU rRNA". It matches the Rfam family "Bacterial small subunit ribosomal RNA", at positions 28 to 417 of the family's 1533-position model. The record is from RNAcentral.